This 425-nucleotide ribosomal RNA is filed under the name uncultured bacterium. RNAcentral's name for it is "partial 16S ribosomal RNA". It matches the Rfam family "Bacterial small subunit ribosomal RNA", at positions 354 to 796 of the family's 1533-position model. The record is from RNAcentral.
GUGGGGAAUCUUAGACAAUGGGGGAAACCCUGAUCUAGCCAUGCCGCGUGAGCGAUGAAGGCCUUAGGGUUGUAAAGCUCUUUCAGCUGGGAAGAUAAUGACGGUACCAGCAGAAGAAGCCCCGGCUAACUCCGUGCCAGCAGCCGCGGUAAUACGGAGGGGGCUAGCGUUGUUCGGAAUUACUGGGCGUAAAGCGCGCGUAGGCGGACCAGAAAGUUGGAGGUGAAAUCCCAGGGCUCAACCUUGGAACUGCCUUCAAAACUCCUGGUCUGGAGUUCGAGAGAGGUGAGUGGAAUUCCGAGUGUAGAGGUGAAAUUCGUGGAUAUUCGGAGGAACACCAGUGGCGAAGGCGGCUCACUGGCUCGAUACUGACGCUGAGGUGCGAAAGCGUGGGGAGCAAACAGGAUUAGAUACCCUUGUAGUCC